UACGUAGGGGGCAAGCGUUGUCCGGAAUUAUUGGGCGUAAAGAGCGUGUAGGCGGUCCGGUAAGUCAGCUGUGAAAGUCAAGGGCUCAACCCUUGAAAGCCGGUUGAUACUGUCGGGCUAGAGUCCGGAAGAGGCGAGUGGAAUUCCCGGUGUAGCGGUGAAAUGCGCAGAUAUCGGGAGGAACACCAAUGGCGAAGGCAGCUCGCUGGGACGGUACUGACGCUGAGACGCGAAAGCGUGGGAGCA
This 246-nucleotide ribosomal RNA is filed under the name uncultured bacterium. RNAcentral describes it as "partial 16S ribosomal RNA". It matches the Rfam family "Bacterial small subunit ribosomal RNA", at positions 524 to 770 of the family's 1533-position model. The record is from RNAcentral.